Long non-coding RNA from Micropterus dolomieu (smallmouth bass), 613 nucleotides. RefSeq lists it as uncharacterized. Lineage: Eukaryota; Metazoa; Chordata; Actinopteri; Centrarchiformes; Centrarchidae. The transcript is spliced from 3 exons. The record is from RefSeq and is a predicted model, not a curated record.
CUCAGAGCUGACAUCCCUGACGCUGGAUGAAAAGGCGGAGGAAUCCCUCCUGUCACGCAUGUGAUUCUGCAGAUUUGGCCAGCUGAAAUUUGUGAGCUCUGGCUUCCCAAACUUCAAUCAGUGCCUCAGAUUUAUGAGGCAGGAUCUUCACUGAUUCAAGUCUGAAAAAACUUCCUCUGCAGCUGAUCCACAACAGGAGGACAACUCUAUGGUGCGUGCGUGCGUGCGUGCGUGUGGUGGGGGUUAUCCUGACCUUCUGAGGGGUUGGUGUCACGUCCAACCUGAUAGCGGUGUGAAUGGGAAAACAGAAAAGAUGAAUACAGCAAUUGCUUAAUAGUGGAACAUGAGUGUGUCAUGCUGUGGAUGCCUUCAGUCCCAGGAGAGGGCCUUCCCUAACCACAACCUUUCUUCUGCCCGAGACUUGAGAAGCAAAGGGGGACGUUGCGGCAUCUAACAGCGUCCCUUUGAAUAGAGCAAUGCUGAAAUCAAGCAGCAUGCCUCAAAUACUUGUGGCAGUUUUCGGUGAGACUCUUUGCACAUCGCCUAAUGGAACUUUAAAGGAUAAGUCUGGGGAUAAAGUGAGCUGCACUGUUGGACUACGUCACAUUUUCCU